RNAcentral lists this ribosomal RNA (253 nucleotides) under uncultured bacterium. Its description in RNAcentral is "partial 16S ribosomal RNA". It matches the Rfam family "Bacterial small subunit ribosomal RNA", at positions 524 to 776 of the family's 1533-position model. The record is from RNAcentral.
GACGUAGGGGACGAGCGUUGUCCGGAUUCAUUGGGCGUAAAGGGUGCGUAGGUGGCGGGGUAAGUCAGGUGUGAAAUCUCGAGGCUCAACCUCGAAACUGCACUUGAUACUGCCUUGCUAGAGUACUGGAGAGGAGAUUGGAAUUUACGGUGUAGCAGUGAAAUGCGUAGAUAUCGGGAGGAACACCAGUGGCGAAGGCGGCUUUCUGGGCCUAUCCUGACGCUGAGGAGCGAAAGCGUGGGGAGCAAACCGG